Molecule: long non-coding RNA, 548 nt
Filed under: Musa acuminata (dwarf banana)
Lineage: Eukaryota; Viridiplantae; Streptophyta; Magnoliopsida; Zingiberales; Musaceae
Description: long non-coding RNA (MACU_LNC003994)
Source: RNAcentral
UGAGAUUCUUGAGAGGGUUGGUUCUGUCGCUUACAGGAUUGCCUUGCCACCAUCAUUGUGCCAUAUCCAUAAUAUAUUUCAUGUUUCAAUGAUCAGAAAGUAUAUACCUGAUCCCUCUCAUAUCAUUAAGUAUGAGUCGAUGGUGAUUGAUAAAGACUUGUCUUAUGUGGAAGAGCCCACUCAGAUUGUUGAUAAAAAAGAAAAGAUCUUGAGGAAUCGGGUUAUCCCUCUAGUUAAAGUGAUCUGGAGAUAUCAUUCUGGAGAGGAAACAACUUGGGAGCUUGAGGAAGAAAUGAUGAAAGCUUAUCCUCAUCUUUUCGUCGAAUGAGGUAUGAUAAAUUUAGAGGACUAAAUUUUUUUUUUUUAAGGAGGGGAGAGUGUAACAUCCCCCAUUUUUAAAAAUUUAGUAAAAGGUUUGUUUGUAAAAAUAAGGAUUAUUUAAUAAUUAUUUUAUAUUAAAUGAUAUUAUAUUAAAGGUUUAUGGCUAGGGACCUAAGAGUAAAUAUUAGAAGUUUGAUAUAAUUUAUGAAAGAUUCAGAUUUAAGUUA